AAACCUAGGCAGCAUAGCCAAACCCUGUCUGCACAAAAAUGUAAAAUAAAAUUAGCCAGGUAUGGUGGAGGAUGAGUCCUAGCUACUUAGGAGGCUGAGGUGUGUGGAUCACUUGAGCCAGGAGUUCAAGGCUGCAGUGAGUCAUGACAGGACAGAGGGAGACCUGUCUACUGUCUGUCCCUAUAGAAAAAGAAAAAAACAGGAUGGCCAGAGGAAAUGCAUCAAUGCAGAGGGACAGAAACAGCAGUGUGGCCUGGGAAAGAGUGAAAAUUGAGGCAGAUUCAUAAAGAAGUCUAAGAGUUUUGGGGAUGUUGGGGACUAUCAAGGUUGACAGUCUCUCCAUAUAGAAAUUCUUCCCCAGAUUCCCAGGAGAAACUUUGAAAUAAAUUACUCAA
This 395-nucleotide long non-coding RNA is filed under the name Homo sapiens (human). Its description in RNAcentral is "novel transcript". Lineage: Eukaryota; Metazoa; Chordata; Mammalia; Primates; Hominidae. The record is from RNAcentral.